RNAcentral lists this ribosomal RNA (390 nucleotides) under uncultured bacterium. RNAcentral's name for it is "bacterial SSU rRNA". It matches the Rfam family "Bacterial small subunit ribosomal RNA", at positions 28 to 417 of the family's 1533-position model. The record is from RNAcentral.
GACGAACGCUGGCGGCGUGCUUAACACAUGCAAGUCGAGCGGUAAGGCCCUUUCGGGGGUACACGAGCGGCGAACGGGUGAGUAACACGUGGGUGACCUGCCCUCAGCUCUGGGAUAAGCCUGGGAAACCGGGUCUAAUACUGGAUAUGACUCCAUGACGCAUGUUGGUGGGGUGGAAAGCCUUGUGCGGCUGAGGAUGGGCCCGCGGCCUAUCAGCUUGUUGGUGGGGUGANGGCCUACCAAGGCGACGACGGGUAGCCGGCCUGAGAGGGCGACCGGCCACACUGGGACUGAGACACGGCCCAGACUCCGUACGGGAGGCAGCAGUGGGGAAUCUUGCGCAAUGGGCGAAAGCCUGACGCAGCGACGCCGCGUGAGGGAUGACGGCCU